ACGACCAUACCACAUUGAAAACACCGGUUCUCGUCCGAUCACCGAAGUUAAGCAAUGUCUGGCCCGGUCAGUACUUGGGAGGGUGACCACCUGGGAACAUGGGUGCUGUAGGCU
RNAcentral lists this ribosomal RNA (114 nucleotides) under Cordylochernes scorpioides. The record is from RNAcentral. Lineage: Eukaryota; Metazoa; Arthropoda; Arachnida; Pseudoscorpiones; Chernetidae.